This 422-nucleotide unclassified non-coding RNA is filed under the name Hevea brasiliensis (rubber tree). The record is from RNAcentral. Lineage: Eukaryota; Viridiplantae; Streptophyta; Magnoliopsida; Malpighiales; Euphorbiaceae.
AAGCCAAAACCAGGAACAUCAACUCAGGACAAGUCGACAAAAUCUCACCAAGUGACGGAUAAGUGUGUGUUUCUUAGCGAAUCUGCUGUGGAUGUACCAGACAUGAAUGAAACAGUAGAGAGUCCUGCUGCUUCCAUUCCUAGUGAAGAUUUAUCGCAGGAGGAACCAGUCUUGGUACGUGACUUGGCAAAGAACGGGAAAGUUGUAAAGCAACAAGGAAAGAGACCGGUGAGAAAUGUUCGAAAGACCACCAGAGCAAAGAGGUAAGUCAUGAGAAUAUGUAGACCAGGCAGUCUGUAGACCUGAAAUUGUUGUAUAUUAGCUUAACUUCUAGAAGAAAUUUAAGCUAUUGUAGGAGAAACCUUGAUUCAUCUUUCCCUUUUUUUCCCGAAAGACCAUGUUGUGUAGCAUCUAUUCCUAAG